GGGGAAUCUUCCGCAAUGGACGAAAGUCUGACGGAGCAACGCCGCGUGAGUGAUGACGGCCUUCGGAUUGUAAACCUCUGUCCUCGGGGACGAUAAUGACGGUACCCGAGGAGGAAGCUCCGGCUAACUACGUGCCAGCAGCCGCGGUAAUACGUAGGGAGCAAGCGUUGUCCGGAUUUACUGGGUGUAAAGGGUGCGUAGGCGGCAGUGCAAGUCAGGUGUGAAAACUAUGGGCUUAACCCAUAGAUUGCACUUGAAACUGUGUUGCUUGAGUGAAGUAGAGGCAAGCGGAAUUCCCGGUGUAGCGGUGAAAUGCGUAGAGAUCGGGAGGAACACCAGUGGCGAAGGCGGCUUGCUGGGCUUUAACUGACGCUGAGGCACGAAAGCGUGGGUAGCAAACA
Molecule: ribosomal RNA, 401 nt
Filed under: uncultured Oscillospiraceae bacterium
Lineage: Bacteria; Bacillati; Bacillota; Clostridia; Eubacteriales; Oscillospiraceae
Description: bacterial SSU rRNA
Rfam family: Bacterial small subunit ribosomal RNA
Source: RNAcentral